AAGUGUCGUCUCGCAUGUUAGACGUUAUUGUUACUUAAGCUCUCGUGGUGACCAAGCUCGCAGAAUGGCGUCAGUCCUACCGGUCUUUGUGUCCGCUCUGCUGAUGCUGGUUUUAAUCUCCACCAUAGAAGGAGCCCCUUAUUACCAGGGAUGUGACUGCUUUUCUGAUGAAAAUGGUUGUCCAUCGAAAUGGAUAGAAGAAGCCGACCGAGGUACAUGUGACUCGGAUGAGAAAAGAUGCUGCCCUCCGCUAAGAAUCUUCUUCUUUCCCUUCCCUGAAUUCUUUCCCACUUCUAUGUAUCCGACGACAGAACCGAACAGUCUUGAAUACAAAUGGGGGAAGUGAUACUUUAACAAUACCAGGCUCGAAGCUGACGGAAUUUAAUGGGAUGAUUCUUGGCUGGGGUCUACUUUUGCUUCAACCAAUUUGGAGGCAGAUGAUAUGAGCUCAGUCCAGCAUGACUGUAAAUCAUUUAACAGUGCAUUCAGGAUGUGUGUCAUUACGUUAUACAAUAACUGAUAUUAUCUGUUAAAACAUUUAUAUUAAAUAAAGGUAUUAUGACGGCUA
Long non-coding RNA from Pecten maximus, 568 nucleotides. RefSeq lists it as uncharacterized. The record is from RefSeq and is a predicted model, not a curated record. The transcript is spliced from 3 exons. NCBI's taxonomy places the organism in Eukaryota, Metazoa, Mollusca, Bivalvia, Pectinida, Pectinidae.